Molecule: ribosomal RNA, 253 nt
Filed under: uncultured bacterium
Lineage: Bacteria
Description: partial 16S ribosomal RNA
Rfam family: Bacterial small subunit ribosomal RNA
Source: RNAcentral
UACGUAGGUGGCGAGCGUUGUCCGGAUUUACUGGGCGUAAAGGGCGUGCAGGCGGUUUGUUAAGUGCAGGGUGAAAGCUCCCGGCUCAACUGGGAGAGGUCCUUGCAUACUGGCGAACGCGAGGGAGGCAGAGGAAAGUGGAAUUCCCGGUGUAGUGGUGAUAUGCGUAGAUAUCGGGAGGAACACCUGUGGCGAAGGCGGCUUUCUGGGCCUUACCUGACGCUGAGACGCGAAAGCGUGGGGAGCGAACCGG